GCACCUUUAUUUUUAAGAGUGUAGCUCAUCAUGUGUUCAUACAUGGGAGGACUAUGAAAGAAGCUGGACAGUUUGUCCAACCGAACCUAAACCGUUACAUGGUUGCAUCCAUUGUCUGUACUUUCAGGAGGGAAAACGGAACUGAGAGGCGGCCAUCUAUAGAAUUCAAAUGGUUAAGGAGCAACGAUUCCAAUAUGUGCAGAGGGUCUUUGAGCUGGAUGCCAUGGCUGACCCACAUGAGUAUACAUCUUCAUUGAGGCAGGGUUCAACCUGACAUAGUGCAAAAGAGGGCUCAACAUCCUUGGUCACCGUGCGGUCACAAGUUCCUGGCCAGAGGGGAGGCAACACCACCAUAUGUGCAGCCAUCAGCAAUCGUGGCGUCCUCCACCACCAUGGCAAACUGGGUCCAUACAACACGGCACAACUCUAGAUUUCUAGAUCAGCUGCACAAUAACAUUCUUCAACAGGAAGGGGAGCCAGGGCAACCAGAGCAGGUCCAAUAUGUUGUCAUUUGGGAUAAUGUGAGUUUCCAUCGUGCUGCUCUGGUUCACACCUGGUUCAAUGCCCACCCCAGGUUCACUGUUCCCUUUUAUUUA
Sinocyclocheilus grahami is the source of this 596-nucleotide long non-coding RNA. RefSeq lists it as uncharacterized. NCBI's taxonomy places the organism in Eukaryota, Metazoa, Chordata, Actinopteri, Cypriniformes, Cyprinidae. The record is from RefSeq and is a predicted model, not a curated record. The transcript has 3 exons.